ACGCUCGACACCUACGGGGGGCAGCAGUGGGGAAUAUUGCACAAUGGGGGAAACCCUGAUGCAGCGACGCCGCGUGAGCGAAGAAGUAUUUCGGUAUGUAAAGCUCUAUCAGCAGGGAAGAAACUGACGGUACCUGACUAAGAAGCACCGGCUAAAUACGUGCCAGCAGCCGCGGUAAUCUGAGCGGGCUGGCAAGGC
RNAcentral lists this ribosomal RNA (198 nucleotides) under uncultured bacterium. RNAcentral describes it as "partial 16S ribosomal RNA". It matches the Rfam family "Bacterial small subunit ribosomal RNA", at positions 328 to 539 of the family's 1533-position model. The record is from RNAcentral.